UAGUUCGACUGCAGCAGACGACCCGUGAACAUGUAACCACAACGGGGUGACCGUGAUAAGGGCCUCGGUCCUUAUCCCCUAACCCUUCCCGACGUGAGUUCGUGGUGUCUUUUUUGGGGCAUCAUGGAUUCCGUUGGACCAUAACAAAACCCCGGCACGGUAUGUGCCAAGGAAAACAAAAAUGAGAAGGACACUACCUGUUUCGCCCCGUUUGCGGUGUGCGUACAGGUCGUGGCCUCCUUGGAAUCACAAACGACUCUCGGCAACGGAUAUCUCGGCUCACGCAUCGAUGAAGAACGUAGCAAAAUGCGAUACUUGGUGUGAAUUGCAGAAUCCCGUGAACCAUCGAGUUUUUGAACGCAAGUUGCGCCCGAAGCCAUCCGGCUGAGGGCACGCCUGCCUGGGCGUCACGCAUCGCGUCGCUCCCCACCAUACCUCCCCAACGGGUUGGCAUGGUGUUGGGGGCGGAUAAUGGCCUCCCGUGCUUGUGUUUCGGUUGGCCUAAAUAAGAGUUCCCUUCGGCGGACACACGACUAGUGGUGGUUGAAUAGACCCUCGUCUUUUGUUGCGUGUCGUGAGCUGUAAGGGUAGCCCUCAUCAAAGACCCCAUUGUAUCGUCUUCGGAUGAUGCUUCGACCGCGACCCCAGGUCAGGCGGGACUACCCGCUGAGUUUAAGCAUAUCAAAA
Molecule: ribosomal RNA, 687 nt
Filed under: Lactuca sativa (garden lettuce)
Lineage: Eukaryota; Viridiplantae; Streptophyta; Magnoliopsida; Asterales; Asteraceae
Description: eukaryotic LSU rRNA
Rfam family: 5.8S ribosomal RNA (bases 255-410)
Source: RNAcentral